Molecule: ribosomal RNA, 253 nt
Filed under: uncultured bacterium
Lineage: Bacteria
Description: partial 16S ribosomal RNA
Rfam family: Bacterial small subunit ribosomal RNA
Source: RNAcentral
UACAGAGGGUGCGAGCGUUAAUCGGAAUUACUGGGCGUAAAGCGUGCGUAGACGGCUAUCUAAGUCGGGUGUGAAAGCCCCGGGCUCAACCUGGGAAUUGCAUUCGAGACUGAAUAGCUAGGGUACGGUAGAGGGAAGUGGAAUUUCCGGUGUAGCGGUGAAAUGCGUAGAUAUCGGGAGGAACACCAGUGGCGAAGGCGACUACCUGGCCUGUUCUUGACGCUGAGGCGCGAAAGCUAGGGUAGCAAACGGG